RNAcentral lists this ribosomal RNA (466 nucleotides) under Escherichia coli. RNAcentral's name for it is "partial 23S ribosomal RNA". It matches the Rfam family "Bacterial large subunit ribosomal RNA", at positions 687 to 1150 of the family's 2925-position model. Lineage: Bacteria; Pseudomonadati; Pseudomonadota; Gammaproteobacteria; Enterobacterales; Enterobacteriaceae. The record is from RNAcentral.
ACUGGGCGUUAAGUUGCAGGGUAUAGACCCGAAACCCGGUGAUCUAGCCAUGGGCAGGUUGAAGGUUGGGUAACACUAACUGGAGGACCGAACCGACUAAUGUUGAAAAAUUAGCGGAUGACUUGUGGCUGGGGGUGAAAGGCCAAUCAAACCGGGAGAUAGCUGGUUCUCCCCGAAAGCUAUUUAGGUAGCGCCUCGUGAAUUCAUCUCCGGGGGUAGAGCACUGUUUCGGCAAGGGGGUCAUCCCGACUUACCAACCCGAUGCAAACUGCGAAUACCGGAGAAUGUUAUCACGGGAGACACACGGCGGGUGCUAACGUCCGUCGUGAAGAGGGAAACAACCCAGACCGCCAGCUAAGGUCCCAAAGUCAUGGUUAAGUGGGAAACGAUGUGGGAAGGCCCAGACAGCCAGGAUGUUGGCUUAGAAGCAGCCAUCAUUUAAAGAAAGCGUAAUAGCUCACUGGUC